RNAcentral lists this non-coding RNA (78 nucleotides) under pig gut metagenome. RNAcentral's name for it is "Glycine riboswitch". It matches the Rfam family "Glycine riboswitch aptamer", at positions 9 to 86 of the family's 94-position model. Rfam says of the family: This family represents the bacterial glycine riboswitch. The record is from RNAcentral.
GAACUCUGGAGAAGCUCAGCAAUGAGUGCCGAAGGUGCAAGGCGAAAGCCGAAUCUCUCAGGCAAAAGGACAGAGACG